CGCGAGCCCAGCGCCGCCGCACUCUCGUGCCUCCCCCAUGCGAGCCCAACGCCGUUGCUCUCCUCUGCCGCCCCCACACGCUGCGUGCGUGCUGCCACCAUCUCCGCCGCCUCCUCGAGACGAGGCCGCCACCAUAAGCCCCACUCCGGCGCACUUGCCCGCCCAUGUAGGUACUCUUUCAUCGGCCGUGGUGGUCGCUGCCGCCGCGCUCCAUGACGCCUGCGACACUGGCCUCGGGAACUCGGUCUGGAUCGCCUCCACGCCUCCACAGGAGGAGCAAGAAGGCCUGGUACGCUACAUCCCUCUCAAGGCCCUACUUCCUCUCCACCAGUUGAGUUAAAACAUGUGAGUCGUUGUACGCUGGGUGUUUGAUGAUAGUUCUGCAAGGAAGAUCAUGCGUGCUACUGUGUUUUUUCAAUCUCUCAUCUAACAUUGUCGUGGGAAGCUUCUAAGGAUUGGAGUACCUCUGCGUACAAGUUACAAUGGGCCUGGUGGGGUAAAGGGGUCUUCAGUUGAUGUUUUCAAAUCUGCAAUAAGCUUGUUGUCUUACACUGGGAUGCAGUUCUGUUUUAUUUGGAGAUGGAUUGAAAAAUCCGAGCUACAAUGACCUUCUACAAAGCUGUCCGAAAAUUUAUGUUCGCCGCAAUUCUGCCGCCACCGUCCACGUCGUUUCCAUGAUGGCAGCCUUGGCGCCAGGGCGUGGGAGCUACUUCUCAGCCUUGCCGGGGUUGACGGCAGCGACACAAUCAUUAACUUUUGGCGUGUUCAUUUGUAUCAAGUGUUCUGGAGCUCAUACAAACCUGGGGGUGCACAUUUCCAAGGUAGCCACAAUAUCUAUGUAUUGCUAGCUAUUUGUCAGUAGUGUCCUUCCAUUUUCAGUUUUAUUUCUUCUUACUUGGAAUGAUUUUAAAUUCAGCCGUAUGAGAUGUUGGCUAAUACUCCCUCCGUCCGCGAAUAAGUGUACAUCUAGCUUUUGUACUAAGUCAAAAUUUUAAAAUUUUGACCAACUUUAUAGAAAAGAAUAGUAGCAUAUAUGACAUCAAAUUGAUAUAUUAUGAAAGUACAUUCGAAAACGAAUCUAGCGAUACUAAUUUAGUGCCAUAAAUGUUGGUACGUUUCUCUAUAAAGUUGGUCAAAGUUUUAAGACUUUGACUUAGAAAAAAACUAGAUGUACACUUAUUCACGGACGGAGGGAGUAAUGGAUUAGACUUUUCAGUUAUAUAGUUGGGCUUUUAUUCGCUAGCCCUUUCUGAAACUAGGCAAGUGCAACCAUGAGGCUUACUUUAGAACUUGUAGGGACCCUUUGAUAUUUUCAUGUCCUAGCGAUUUCUACUGUCCCAGUGUGGAAGGUUGUCAGGCAAUAGACAAUAAAGCAGAUGUUUCAAGUUUCAACUUACUUUCUAGGUUGUACAGUUGUUUGUAAGUUGAUAAACACCUGCAUGGAGCCACACCCAUAUAUUAGC
Aegilops tauschii subsp. strangulata is the source of this 1463-nucleotide long non-coding RNA. RefSeq lists it as uncharacterized. The record is from RefSeq and is a predicted model, not a curated record. NCBI's taxonomy places the organism in Eukaryota, Viridiplantae, Streptophyta, Magnoliopsida, Poales, Poaceae.